UGGGGAAUAUUGCACAAUGGGCGCAAGCCUGAUGCAGCCAUGCCGCGUGUGUGAAGAAGGCCUUCGGGUUGUAAAGCACUUUCAGCGGGGAGGAAGGCGUUAAGGUUAAGAACCUUGGCGAUUGACGUUACCCGCAGAAGAAGCACCGGCUAACUCCGUGCCAGCAGCCGCGGUAAUACGGAGGGUGCAAGCGUUAAUCGGAAUUACUGGGCGUAAAGCGCACGCAGGCGGUCUGUCAAGUCGGAUGUGAAAUCCCCGGGCUCAACCUGGGAACUGCCUUCGAAACUGGCAGGCUCGAGUCUUGUAGAGGGGGGUAGAAUUCCAGGUGUAGCGGUGAAAUGCGUAGAGAUCUGGAGGACUACCGGUGGCGAAGGCGGCCCCCUGGACAAAGACUGACGCUCAGGUGCGAAAGCGUGGGGAGCAAACAGG
RNAcentral lists this ribosomal RNA (429 nucleotides) under Chloroflexota bacterium. Its description in RNAcentral is "Chloroflexi bacterium partial 16S ribosomal RNA". It matches the Rfam family "Bacterial small subunit ribosomal RNA", at positions 355 to 776 of the family's 1533-position model. The record is from RNAcentral. Lineage: Bacteria; Bacillati; Chloroflexota.